Molecule: non-coding RNA, 242 nt
Filed under: Lactobacillus amylolyticus
Lineage: Bacteria; Bacillati; Bacillota; Bacilli; Lactobacillales; Lactobacillaceae
Description: T-box sequence
Rfam family: T-box leader
About the family: Uncharged tRNA acts as the effector for transcription antitermination of genes in the T-box leader family. T-boxes are found upstream of many aminoacyl-tRNA synthetase genes and some amino acid biosynthetic genes usually in Gram-positive bacteria.
Source: RNAcentral
AAAAACAUCUUGAAAAGCAGAGUAGCUAUCGUUUUUAUUGUUAAAGAGAACUGACAGUUGGUGAGAGUCAGUCAAUAAGGCAUAGUGAACAUGGGCUUGGAAUGAUGAUUAUCAGUGAUAUUUAGCUGAUAACGGGUUUGCAUCCGUUAACAUUGCAAGCUGUUUCUUGACAGCUAAUGAGGUUUAUCCGCGUGAGCGGGUAGACGAAUUAAAGGUGGUAAAACGAAGCACUCGUCCUUUUC